CGUAGGUCUCGAGCGUUAUCCGGAAUUACUGGGCGUAAAGGGUUGGUAGGUGGUAAAGUGGGUCUUUAGUAAAAGCCACAAGCUCAACUUGUGUUUCGCUAAAGAAACUGCUUUUCUCGAGGGUAGCAGGGGCAGAUGGAAUUCCCGGUGUAGCAGUGAAAUGCGUUGAUAUCGGGAAGAACACCAAUGGCGCAGGCAGUCUGCUAGGCUACUCCUAACACUGAGCAACGAAAGCGUGGGGAGCGAACGGGA
This 252-nucleotide ribosomal RNA is filed under the name uncultured prokaryote. RNAcentral describes it as "partial 16S ribosomal RNA". It matches the Rfam family "Bacterial small subunit ribosomal RNA", at positions 526 to 777 of the family's 1533-position model. The record is from RNAcentral.